GACGAACGCUGGCGGCGUGCUUAACACAUGCAAGUCGAACGGAAAGGCCCUGCUUUUGUGGGGUGCUCGAGUGGCGAACGGGUGAGUAACACGUGAGUAACCUGCCCUUGACUUUGGGAUAACUUCAGGAAACUGGGGCUAAUACCGGAUAGGAGCUCCUGCUGCAUGGUGGGGGUUGGAAAGUUUCGGCGGUUGGGGAUGGACUCGCGGCUUAUCAGCUUGUUGGUGGGGUAGUGGCUUACCAAGGCUUUGACGGGUAGCCGGCCUGAGAGGGUGACCGGCCACAUUGGGACUGAGAUACGGCCCAGACUCCUACGGGAGGCAGCAGUGGGGAGUCUUGCACAAUGGGCAGAAGCCUGAUGCAGCAACGCCGCGUGCGGGAUGACGGCCUUCGGGUUGUAAACCGCUUUCGCCUGAGAAGAAGCGUGAGUGACGGUAAUGGGUAAAGAAGCACCGGCUAACUACGUG
Molecule: ribosomal RNA, 468 nt
Filed under: uncultured bacterium
Lineage: Bacteria
Description: partial 16S ribosomal RNA
Rfam family: Bacterial small subunit ribosomal RNA
Source: RNAcentral